UACGAAGGGUGCAAGCGUUACUCGGAAUUACUGGGCGUAAAGCGUGCGUAGGUGGUUUGUUAAGUCUGAUGUGAAAGCCCUGGGCUCAACCUGGGAAUUGCAUUGGAUACUGGCAGGCUAGAGUGCGGUAGAGGGUAGUGGAAUUCCCGGUGUAGCAGUGAAAUGCGUAGAUAUCGGGAGGAACACCUGUGGCGAAAGCGGCGCACUGGACCAUAACUGACGCUGAGGCGCGAAAGCUAGGGGAGCAAACAGG
Molecule: ribosomal RNA, 253 nt
Filed under: uncultured bacterium
Lineage: Bacteria
Description: partial 16S ribosomal RNA
Rfam family: Bacterial small subunit ribosomal RNA
Source: RNAcentral